This 2060-nucleotide ribosomal RNA is filed under the name human gut metagenome. RNAcentral describes it as "bacterial LSU rRNA". It matches the Rfam family "Bacterial large subunit ribosomal RNA", at positions 513 to 2605 of the family's 2925-position model. The record is from RNAcentral.
GGUGAAAAGAACCCCGGGAGGGGAGUGAAAGAGAACCUGAAACUGUGUGCUUACAAGUAGUCAGAGGACGUUAAAGUCUGAUGGCGUGCCUUUUGUAGAAUGAACCGGCGAGUUACGGUAUUUAGCAAGGUUAAGUCUAAAGGGACGGAGCCGAAGCGAAAGCGAGUCUUAAUAGGGCGGUAAGUUGAAUGCUGUAGACCCGAAACCCGGCGAGCUAGCCAUGAGCAGGUUGAAGUUUGAGUAAAAUCAAAUGGAGGACCGAACUAGGGCCUGUUGAAAAAGGCUUGGAUGACUUGUGGCUAGGGGUGAAAUUCCAAUCGAGCUGGGAUAUAGCUGGUUCUCCCCGAAAUAACUUUAGGGCUAGCGUUAAACAAGAGUUUUAUGAAGGUAGAGCACUGAAUAGUAGAUGGUCCCACCUCGGGAUACUGACAUUAAUCAAACUCCGAAUGUCAUAAAACGCGUUUAGCAGUCAGACUGCGAGUGAUAAGGUCCGUGGUCAAAAGGAAAAGAGUCCAGACCGCCAAAUAAGGUCCCAAAAUAUAUGCUAAGUGGAGAAGGAUGUAGAGAUGCCUAAACAACUAGGAUGUUGGCUUAGAAGCAGCCAUCAUUUAAAGAGUGCGUAAUAGCUCACUAGUCGAGUGACUCCGCGCCGAAAAUGUACCGGGGCUAAGCAUAUUACCGAAUUUGCGGAUUCGAUACGAAAGUAUUGAGUGGUAGGGGAGCGUUCCAUAUUGGGAAGAAGCAAGAUCGAGAGGACUUGUGGACUAUAUGGAAGUGAGAAUGCCGGUGUGAGUAACGAAAAGACAGGUGAGAAUCCUGUCCGUCAAAAACCCAAGGUUUCCAGGGGAAGGGUCGUCCGCCCUGGGUAAGUCUGGGCCUAAGGUGAGGCCGAGAGGCGUAGCUGAUGGAUAUCUGGUGUAUAUUCCAGAACUAGUAUAAUGACUGAUGGAGUGACGAAGAAGGCUAGGAUCCGAUUCUUAGUGGAUUGAAUACGAGAUAUCAAGAGGGGAUGUAGGCAAAUCCGCAUCUAGAAAUCAAGAUAUGACAGGUAAAGGAUAACGAAGUCAAGCUUCCAAGAAAAGCUUCUAGGGUUAAUCAUUAUACUACCAGUACCGUAAACCGACACAGGUGGGUGAGGAGAGAAUUCUAAGACGCGCGAGAAAACCCUUGUUAAGGAACUCUGCAAGUUGGCCCCGUAAGUUCGCAAUAAGGGGAGCUCAUGUAAAAGUGAGCCACAGAAAAGAAGCCCAAGCAACUGUUUAACAAAAACACAGGUUUAUGCAAAACCGUAAGGUGAAGUAUAUGAGCUGACACCUGCCCGGUGCUGGAAGGUUAAAAGGAGAGGUUAGAGCAAUCGAAGCCUUGAAUUGAAGCCCCAGUAAACGGCGGCCGUAACUAUAACGGUCCUAAGGUAGCGAAAUUCCUUGUCAGGUAAGUUCUGACCCGCACGAAAGGUGUAAUGUCUUUGGGCACUGUCUCAACAGGGGACUCGGUGAAAUCAAACUGCCGGUGAAAAUGCCGGCUACCCGCGAUUAGACGGAAAGACCCCAUGGAGCUUUACUGUAGGUUGAUAUUGAUAUUUGGUAUGUAAUGUACAGGAUAGGUGGGAGACUAUGAAGCUAGGACGUUAGUCUUGGUGGAGUCGACGUUGGGAUACCACCCUUUGCCUAUCGAGUAUCUAACUAGUGUAAGUGGAUUACAAAGGACAGUGUCAGUUGGGCAGUUUGACUGGGGCGGUCGCCUCCUAAAGAGUAACGGAGGCGCUCGAAGGUUCCCUCAGAAUGGUUGGAAAUCAUUCGCAGAGUGUAAACGCAGAAGGGAGCUUGACUGCAAGACAAACAAGUCGAGCAGGGACGAAAGUCGGAGUUAGUGAUCUUACGGUACCGCGUGGAAGGGCCGUGACUCAACGGAUAAAAGCUACCCUGGGGAUAACAGGCUGAUCACGCCCAAGCGUUCACAGCGACGGCGUGGUUUGGCACCUCGAUGUCGGCUCGUCGCAUCCUGGAGGUGGAUAAGCUUCCAAGGGUUGGGCUGUUCGCCCAUUAAAGCGGCACGCGAGC